Small nuclear RNA from Neogale vison (American mink), 143 nucleotides. RefSeq annotates it as U4 spliceosomal RNA. The transcript has a single exon. The record is from RefSeq and is a predicted model, not a curated record. NCBI's taxonomy places the organism in Eukaryota, Metazoa, Chordata, Mammalia, Carnivora, Mustelidae.
AGCUUUGCGCAGUGGCAGUAUCGUAGCCGAUGAGGUUUAUCCGAGGCUCGGUUAUUGCUAAUUGAAAACUGUUCUUGCUGCAGAGAAAUUAUUUUUCAUCAGAGGGACUUAAACAUUUCACUUUUUAAAAAAUUUUUAUUUAU